Long non-coding RNA from Oncorhynchus tshawytscha (Chinook salmon), 460 nucleotides. Lineage: Eukaryota; Metazoa; Chordata; Actinopteri; Salmoniformes; Salmonidae. The record is from Ensembl.
UCCUACCAAUGGUUUAUAUACAGUACAUUGGGUCCUACCGGGUCCUACCAAUGGUUUAUAUACAGUACAUUGGGUCCUACCAAUGGUUUAUAUACAGUACAUUGGGUCCUACCAAUGGUUUAUAUGCAGUACAUUGGGUCAUACCAAUGGUUUAUAUGCAGUACAUUGGGUCAUACCAAUGGUUUAUAUACAGUACAUUGGGUCAUACCAAUGGUUUAUAUACAGUACAUUGGGUCCUACCAAUGAACUGUAUGGUAGGUAGACUGAACUGCCCUGUCUGGUAGGUAGCCUGAACUGCCCCGUCUGGUAGGUAGCCUGAACUGCCCCGUCUGGUAGGUAGCCUGAACUGCCCCGUCUGGUAGGUAGCCUGAACUGCCCCGUCUGGUAGGUAGACUGAACUGCCCUGUCUGGUAGGUAGACUGAACUGCCCUGUCUGGUAGGUAGACUGAACUGCCCUGAA